AGAGAGAGAGAGAGAGAGUAGCAAAGAGGCUUGAAACAAAAUAAUUUUGUUUCUCAAUUUCUAUCUCCAUGUUGCCAUCAAGUAGGUUUAGCGGUGUUGAAAUUUUCAUCAGUUUCAAAUGAGUUUGGUUUAGCCAAAUCAUGUGGAUAUGAUACUUUGGUUCUGGCCUUAUGAUUUCAUAGUUUUCUAUACUUAGAUCAUGAUGGACUUUUGUGCUCUUUUCUUAUGAUGAACAAAUUUUAUUGUGCCUGGGUAGGACAGUUUUACAUCUUGGAUUGUAGUUGGAUUUGACUAAUUAUUGUGCUUAACUAUAAGCCCCUGUGCUCCACAAAUAGAAGCUGUUGGUUAUGUGAGUUAAGAAAUGUUUGAAUCUCGAGUUUCUUGAGAACCUGCCAGUUGUAUAAUACUUAUCUGGCUUUAGUAGUGAACUUCAUCAGGUUUUCUUUUCUUUCUUUUUUUUU
This 461-nucleotide unclassified non-coding RNA is filed under the name Hevea brasiliensis (rubber tree). The record is from RNAcentral. Lineage: Eukaryota; Viridiplantae; Streptophyta; Magnoliopsida; Malpighiales; Euphorbiaceae.